ACGGGUGAGUAACGCGUGGGAAUCUACCCAACCCUACGGAAUAACGCAUGGAAACGUGUGCUAAUACCGUAUACGCCCUUCGGGGGAAAGAUUUAUCGGGGAUGGAUGAGCCCGCGUUGGAUUAGCUAGUUGGUGGGGUAAAGGCCUACCAAGGCGACGAUCCAUAGCUGGUCUGAGAGGAUGAUCAGCCACAUUGGGACUGAGACACGGCCCAAACUCCUACGGGAGGCAGCAGUGGGGAAUAUUGGACAAUGGGCGUAAGCCUGAUCCAGCCAUGCCGCGUGAGUGAUGAAGGCCCUAGGGUUGUAAAGCUCUUUCACCGGUGAAGAUAAUGACGGUAACCGGAGAAGAAGCCCCGGCUAACUUCGUGCCAGCAGCCGCGGUAAUACGAAGGGGGCUAGCGUUGUUCGGAAUUACUGGGCGUAAAGCGCACGUAGGCGGAUAUUUAAGUCAGGGGUGAAAUCCCGGGGCUCAACCCCGGAACUGCCUUUGAUACUGGGUAUCUAGAGUCCAGAAGAGGUGAGUGGAAAUUCCGAGUGUAGAGGUGAAAUUCGUA
RNAcentral lists this ribosomal RNA (556 nucleotides) under Proteobacteria bacterium HRRK152. RNAcentral's name for it is "bacterial SSU rRNA". It matches the Rfam family "Bacterial small subunit ribosomal RNA", at positions 102 to 692 of the family's 1533-position model. The record is from RNAcentral. Lineage: Bacteria; Pseudomonadati; Pseudomonadota.